CAAUAGCGUAUAUUAAAGUUGUUGCGGUUAAAAAGCUCGUAGUUGGAUUUCUGUUGAGGACGACCGGUCCGCCCUCUGGGUGAGGUAUCUGGCUCGGCCUUGGCAUCUUCUUGGAGAACGUAACUGCACUUGACUGUGUGGUGCGGUAUCCAGGACUUUUACUUUGAAAAAUUUAGAGUGUUUAAAGCAGGCAUUUGCUAUGAAUACAUUAGCAUGGAAUAAUAAUCUAGGACUUCGGUUCUAUUUUGUUGGUUUCUAGAUCUGAAGUAAUGAUUGAUAGGGAUAGUUGGGGGUGCUAGUAUUAAGGGGCCAGAGGUGAAAUUCUUGGAUUCUCUUAAGACUAACUUAUGCGAAAGCAUUCACCAAGGAUGUCUUCUUUAAUCAAGAACGAAAGUUGGGG
RNAcentral lists this ribosomal RNA (400 nucleotides) under uncultured eukaryote. Its description in RNAcentral is "bacterial SSU rRNA". It matches the Rfam family "Eukaryotic small subunit ribosomal RNA", at positions 592 to 995 of the family's 1831-position model. The record is from RNAcentral.